UGAAGCACCUUCCGCUUUUCCCCACUGUAUAAAAUGGCAGCUCGCUUUAGAUCGUCAUCGAAGCCUGAGACGGGUGUGAGCAGUGCGAACAAGUCCUUUGUCUUCUUUCAUAACUGGAUUGCUGCAUAUUGCCAGGUUCCUCCUAACCACCAUGAAAGCCUACGUGCUCUUGGCCCUGGUCAUCUGCGGAUAUCUCUGCCAAAUUCAAGCUGCUACAUUGAGCAAGCCGGAAAAAACAACGCACGCAUUAGAGAAGCUUGUGGAAGAAGAGAUCACCAAGGCAUCCGCGAAUGGGCAAGGACACCUCGCCGAAGCUCUCAAGGCCCUGAAGAGCUCGGUUAACGGCGAAGAAACUGAAGAGGCCUACUUCUUUGGUCUACUGGCCCUUAUCCGUUUAAUUAUUAGUGCAAUUCGCGCCAGCGGUUAAAUUGCUCGUGCAGUGGCAGAGAAACAAACGUAGGUACGUUUCUCGAUGCGGUAGCUGCGUCCGUUAUAUCCUUGGUCCGUUACUGCAACUGCCGCUGGCUCCGCGGCCGGCUCUGCGGCUGGUUCUGCA
Long non-coding RNA from Dermacentor silvarum, 556 nucleotides. RefSeq lists it as uncharacterized. The record is from RefSeq and is a predicted model, not a curated record. NCBI's taxonomy places the organism in Eukaryota, Metazoa, Arthropoda, Arachnida, Ixodida, Ixodidae. The transcript is spliced from 3 exons.